This 254-nucleotide ribosomal RNA is filed under the name uncultured bacterium. RNAcentral describes it as "partial 16S ribosomal RNA". It matches the Rfam family "Bacterial small subunit ribosomal RNA", at positions 524 to 776 of the family's 1533-position model. The record is from RNAcentral.
UACGUAGGGUGCGAGCGUUGUCCGGAAUUAUUGGGCGUAAAGAGCUCGUAGGCGGUCUGUCGCGUCGGUCGUGAAAACUUGGGGCUUAACCCUGAGCUUGCGGUCGAUACGGGCAUGACUGGAGUUCGGCAGGGGAGACUGGAAUUCCUGGUGUAGCGGUGAAAUGCGCAGAUAUCAGGAGGAACACCGGUGGCGAAGGCGCUCAUCUGGCCCAAUACUGACGCUGAGGCGCGAAAGCUAGGUGAGCAAACGGG